RNAcentral lists this long non-coding RNA (210 nucleotides) under Prunus persica (peach). RNAcentral's name for it is "long non-coding RNA (PPER_LNC005331)". Lineage: Eukaryota; Viridiplantae; Streptophyta; Magnoliopsida; Rosales; Rosaceae. The record is from RNAcentral.
GUUAUCAUUCGACGAGAGCGAUGCCUUCGGCACUCCGUUAUCAUUUGGCGGGCGUGAUGCCUUCGGCACCCGGUCAUCAUUCGACGAGAGCGAUGCCUUCAGCACCCCGUCAUCAUUAGACGAGAGCGAUGCCUUCGGCACCCUGCCAUCAUUCGACGAGAGCGACACCUUCGGCACCCCGUCAUCAUUAGCGCGAGCCAUGCCUUCGAC